UGGGGGAUAUUGCACAAUGGGGGAAACCCUGAUGCAGCGACGCCGCGUGAGUGAAGAAGUAUUUCGGUAUGUAAAGCUCUAUCAGCAGGGAAGAAAUACUGGCCUCCGGUCAGCAGACAGUACCUGAAUAAGAAGCCCCGGCUAACUACGUGCCAGCAGCCGCGGUAAUACGUAGGGGGCAAGCGUUAUCCGGAUUUACUGGGUGUAAAGGGAGCGUAGACGGUGAAGCAAGUCUGGAGUGAAAGCCCGGGGCCCAACCCCGGGACUGCUCUGGAAACUGUUUAACUGGAGUACAGGAGGGGCAGGCGGAAUUCCUGGUGUAGCGGUGAAAUGCGUAGAUAUCAGGAGGAACACCGGCGGCGAAGGCGGCCUGCUGGACUGAGACUGACGUUGAGGCUCGAAAGCGUGGGGAGCAAACAGG
RNAcentral lists this ribosomal RNA (421 nucleotides) under uncultured bacterium. Its description in RNAcentral is "bacterial SSU rRNA". It matches the Rfam family "Bacterial small subunit ribosomal RNA", at positions 355 to 776 of the family's 1533-position model. The record is from RNAcentral.